Neofelis nebulosa (Clouded leopard) is the source of this 1356-nucleotide long non-coding RNA. RefSeq lists it as uncharacterized. The transcript is spliced from 4 exons. Lineage: Eukaryota; Metazoa; Chordata; Mammalia; Carnivora; Felidae. The record is from RefSeq and is a predicted model, not a curated record.
UUGAGAAACUAGCCUCAUUCUCAUAAACAGAAGCUGGAGUGGGAGGUGACAGUGGUGGCAGUGAAAUUGGUGGCCUGGACCUGCUAUAGUCCCAGCUGAGCCCCAGUCGAUGAGAAGACCACACUGAUUGAUGAGCCUAGAGGUUACAGCCUGCUUUUCAAGGUGAUAAUGAACUCACAGACUUCAGUACCACCUUCUGCUGGACAGUGUCAGGAUAUUAAUUGUUCCCUCCCAUAGCCCUGAAUGAAUACAAAGCCCUAAAUUGGUAAGGAAGGCUAUUGGACUGGUAGGAAAUAUUUCUCAUUGCCUGGGAAAGGAAGAAUUGGUUAGAUGGUGUGAAAUUCAACCGUGGGACUCAUAUCUCUGAAACAGUGGACCUCCUUACAAACAAGCCACUGCCUGAUGAAUGAUCUCCAGGAUCCUUCUUGGGUUCUAGGGCCAGCUUCAGUCAUAAUUCCCCUGAAUUCAUACAGCAUCACCUGCUGGGUCAUUGUGACUUUAGGCCCACCGUACAUGAUGCAUUGGAAUCUCCAUAGCAAACCUGAAUGAAUGUUCAGGCAGCACUGAAGAUAACAGGCAGAGCAGAGGACAUACUACUAGUCACUCUGCCAAAGGCCAUGCCUGAGGUACAGCUACACCUCUCACAGCUCGAAUGCUCCACUAGAGAGGUUCCACUGCUACCCAGCUAUUCAGACCUAACUGCCAUCAUGCUGUAAAGCUGCCUGCCCCCAGAAAGCAGCACCUUGCCCAUGGUAUUCGCCUACCACAUACAAAUCCAAUAGAUUAUGUUCUAUUUUUCUCAUCCAUGAGCAACAGGAAGUAGCAAAAUCUUCAACCUGAAUAGUUGUGGUAAUGUUGGGGAAUGUUCCAGCAUGCAUAAUGCUAGGGAGAUAUCUGCCCCAACCAAGAGUAAGUAGUGCUGAUAACUUGGCCCACAAUUUGCUAAGGCCAAUAUUUUUUCUCCCACCAGAGCAUCUCUUUAGCAGACAGGCUACUGACACAGGAACAAGCUAAUCUGGAUUGCCCAGUGAAAUAUACAAAAGCAGCAGAUACUGUGGACAAUAAAGGCAAAUUCUUUUUUCCUGAACUGAACUUAAAGUACUGAAAAAUAAACAUGCUCUCAUUUGGGAGAAAUGUUUUUACCCUCUACUCUAACAUUGUACCAACUUUCCUUUUGAUUAAUGGUAUCAAGAACCUGUUGCUUUUUUGGGCAGGGGUGGGGCGCUUUUUUGGUCCAGUUUUCACUAUAAUGCCUAUGUCUUCCUGAUUCUUAGCUCCUUGUCUUUAACCAACCAUAGUAGACACAACAAUGACUCCCAAAGAUGUCCUAGUCCUAAUUCCUGGAAGCUAUGAAUA